Molecule: ribosomal RNA, 460 nt
Filed under: uncultured bacterium
Lineage: Bacteria
Description: partial 16S ribosomal RNA
Rfam family: Bacterial small subunit ribosomal RNA
Source: RNAcentral
CCUACGGGGGGCAGCAGUGAGGAAUAUUGGUCAAUGGGCGCGAGCCUGAACCAGCCAAGUAGCGUGAAGAAUGACUGCCCUACGGGUUGUAAACUUCUUUUAUAAAGGAAUAAAGUGAGGCACGUGUGCCUUUUUGUAUGUACUUUAUGAAUAAGGAUCGGCUAACUCCGUGCCAGCAGCCGCGGUAAUACGGAGGAUCCGAGCGUUAUCCGGAUUUAUUGGGUUUAAAGGGAGCGUAGAUGGGUUGUUAAGUCAGUUGUGAAAGUUUGCGGCUCAACCGUAAAAUUGCAGUUGAUACUGGCGGUCUGGAGUAGAGUUGAAGUAGGCGGAAUGCGUGGUGUAGCGGUGAAAUGCUUAGAUAUCACGAAGAACUCCGAUUGCGAAGGCAGCUUACUAAACUGACACUGACAUUGAGGCACGAAAGUGUGGGUAUCGAACAGGAUUAGAUACCCUUGUAGUC